This 422-nucleotide ribosomal RNA is filed under the name uncultured bacterium. Its description in RNAcentral is "partial 16S ribosomal RNA". It matches the Rfam family "Bacterial small subunit ribosomal RNA", at positions 361 to 775 of the family's 1533-position model. The record is from RNAcentral.
AUUUUUGACAAUGGGGGAAACCCUGAUCCAGCCAUCCCGCGUGUAUGAUGAAGGCCUNNNGGUUGNACAGUACUUUUGGCAGANAAGNAAAGGUAUCCCCUAAUACGAGAUACUCCUGACGGUAUCUGCAGGAUAAGCACCGGCUAACUACGUGCCAGCAGCCGCGGUAAUACGAAGGGUGCAAUCGUUAAUCGGAAUUACUGGGCGUAAAGCGUGUGUAGGCGGUUCGGAAAGAAAGAUGUGAAAUCCCAGGGCUCAAACUUGGAACUGCAUUUUUAAAUGCCGGGCUAGAGUAUGUCAGAGGGGGGUAGAAUUCCACGUGUAGCAGUGAAAUGCGUAGAUAUGUGGAGGAAUACCGAUGGCGAAGGCAGCCCCCUGGGAUAAUACUGACGCUCAGACACGAAAGCGUGGGGAGCAAACAG